Molecule: ribosomal RNA, 398 nt
Filed under: Imbricatea sp.
Lineage: Eukaryota; Cercozoa; Imbricatea
Description: partial small subunit ribosomal RNA
Rfam family: Eukaryotic small subunit ribosomal RNA
Source: RNAcentral
AUUCCAGCUCCAGUAGCGUAUAUUAAUGUUGUUGCAGUUAAAAAGCUCGUAGUUGGAUUUCUGACUUGACGCGCCUGGCCCGCCUUGCAUUUCGCGGGUGAGUGCCGGAGCGCGUCGGUCAUCCUUCUAGAGAACGGCGCUACCCUUCACUGGGUCGGCGUCGCAAUCUAGAUCUUUUACUUUGAAAAAAUUAGAGUGUUCUAGGCAGGCUCGCGCUGUGAAUACAUUAGCAUGGAAUAAUAAUCUAGGACUUUGUUCCUAUUCUGUUGGUUUCUAGGAAUUAAGUAAUGAUUGAUAGGGAUAGUUGGGGGUGCUAGUAUUCAGCGGCCAGAGGUGAAAUUCUUGGAUUCGCUGAAGACUAACUUAUGCGAAAGCAUUCACCAAGGAUGUCUUCAUUA